Molecule: ribosomal RNA, 684 nt
Filed under: unidentified myxozoan parasite
Lineage: Eukaryota; Metazoa; Cnidaria; Myxozoa
Description: bacterial SSU rRNA
Rfam family: Eukaryotic small subunit ribosomal RNA
Source: RNAcentral
UAAGUACAUACUUCGGUAGAGUGAAACUGCGGAUAGCUCAUUAAAUCGCCUCUAUUUUGUUUGAUAGUCCUUCCAUCUGGAUAUCCGUGGAAAAUCUAGAGCCAAUACUUGCACUGAUACCUAACAAGCCGGUUUCUUGUUAGGUGCAUUUAUUGGAUAUCCGAUCGCUCACAUUGCGAGCGUUAGGUGAUUCUAAAUGACUUUGCUGAUCGUAUGGCCUUUGUGCCGACGACAGAUCAAACAAGAUCGCGCCCUAUCAAUUUGUUGUUAGGAUAUUGUCCUAACAAGGUUGUAACGGGUGACGGGGAAUCAGGGUUUGAUUCCGGAGAGGGAGCAUGAGAUAUANCUACCACAUCUAAGGAAGGCAGCAGGCGCGCAAAUUACCCACUCCCGACACGGGGAGGUAGUGACGAGAAAUAUCGGCUCCUAUUCAAUUGGGUAGGAGACCGAAAUGGACGAAAUUCAGGUCCAUUCGUGAGUUACAAGCAGAGGGCAAGUCUGGUGCCAGCAGCCGCGGUAAUUCCAGCUCUGCACGCAUAUGCGAGAUUUGUUGCAUUUAAAAAGCUCGUAGUCGGACGGUUCCACAAUUUUGUUGAUUGGACACUGCAUGUGCUACAUAAUUUUGUCUACCUAACUAAGGAGGCAACAAAUCACUAGUGAAUUCGCGGCCGCCUGCAGGUCGAC